UGGUCCAGAAGGUUCUACCAGGUCCCCAGAGCUGUGGGAAUGGUUCAGAAGGUUCCACCAGGUCCCAGGACUAUGGAAUGGUCCAGAAGGUUCCAUGAGGUCCCCAGGACUGUGGAAUGGUCCAGAAGGUUCCACCAGGCCCUGAGAGCUGUGGGAAUGGUCCAGAAGGUUCCGUGAGGUCCCC
This is a long non-coding RNA of Corapipo altera (White-ruffed manakin), 184 nucleotides long. RefSeq lists it as uncharacterized. The record is from RefSeq and is a predicted model, not a curated record. NCBI's taxonomy places the organism in Eukaryota, Metazoa, Chordata, Aves, Passeriformes, Pipridae. The transcript is spliced from 3 exons.